UGGAGUCUGGGAGAGAUUUAAGGGCAAAGAUAUAUGCCAAACUAAGUAAAGAGAACUUGGUGGACCGCGAUCGAGUUGACUCGGGUGUUUCGGGUCCAGAUGUUGGGUGGGUUUCUGAGUUGGUGAAGUGAAAUGAAGGACGAUGAAGUUUCCGAUUUUUUUUAUUAUUCUCUGACUUUUGUGAAUAUGAAGAUGAUGGUGAUUUGGUGUGUAAAUAUGAUGCUGUAGAGGGGCUGAGAGAGAAACCAAUAGUCUCUCCGUUUUUGUGGCAUUUUGGGAGGAGAAAAAAAAAAGAUGCAAGCCUUUUCUUGUAAAGCAAUAAAUGAAGUAUUUCUUAGGGUUCUGCCGGGAACGGGUGGUGGUUUGUUCGUCAAACUUCUUAAAGAUUUGUAUUUUGAAUGAUCAUUUUGUCUAAUUUUAUCGGAUAUAAUUACAUCUUUGUAAGUAACCUUAUGUUUAUUAUUCUAAUCAAUGUAAUGUUAUAUUUCAAGUUGAAUUUCGAGUGAUCUUUUUUU
RNAcentral lists this long non-coding RNA (515 nucleotides) under Populus tremula. Its description in RNAcentral is "long non-coding RNA (PTRE_LNC002484)". Lineage: Eukaryota; Viridiplantae; Streptophyta; Magnoliopsida; Malpighiales; Salicaceae. The record is from RNAcentral.